UCGCUGAGGAGUGACGCAAUCUGACGUGAGACAAUGCGCUCUCUACAUAACAGCCCGGAAGUUUCUGAAGAAAUCCAUUAAGUUUUCACGUUUUUCUCAGCACCAAGCUACCUAGAACAGAUGGCGGGGUUCGAUCUCGUGCCUGUAGAUGGUGGCAGUCCAAUACACCUGCCCGAGGGGGAGACACUGCUGGGAAGGGGUCCAUUCCUUGGCGUCAGCGACAAAAGAGUCUCCAGACACCACUGCCUCCUUGAGAACCUGAAUGGGCAGCUGCGCAUCAAACCU
This is a long non-coding RNA of Salvelinus sp. IW2-2015, 285 nucleotides long. RefSeq lists it as uncharacterized. NCBI's taxonomy places the organism in Eukaryota, Metazoa, Chordata, Actinopteri, Salmoniformes, Salmonidae. The record is from RefSeq and is a predicted model, not a curated record.